RNAcentral lists this ribosomal RNA (468 nucleotides) under uncultured bacterium. RNAcentral describes it as "partial 16S ribosomal RNA". It matches the Rfam family "Bacterial small subunit ribosomal RNA", at positions 28 to 507 of the family's 1533-position model. The record is from RNAcentral.
GACGAACGCUGGCGGCGUGCCUAACACAUGCAAGUCGAACGGAAAGGCCCUGCUCUUGUGGGGUGCUCGAGUGGCGAAAGGGUGAGUAACACGUGAGUAACCUGCCCUUGACUUUGGGAUAACUUCAGGAAACUGGGGCUAAAACCGGAUAGGAGAUCCUGCUGCAUGGUGGGGGUUGGAAAGUUUCGGCGGUUGGGGAUGGACUCGCGGCUUAUCAGCUUGUUGGUGGGGUAGUGGCUUACCAAGGCUUCGACGGGUAGCCGGCCUGAGAGGGUGACCGGCCACAUUGGGACUGAGAUACGGCCCAGAGUCCUACGGGAGGCAGCAGUGGGGAAUAUUGCGCGAUGGGCGGAAGCCUGAUGCAGCGACUCCGGGUGCGGGAUGACGGCUUUCGGGUUGUAAACCGCUUUCGCCUGUGACGAAGCGUGAGUGACGGUAAUGGGUAAGGAAGCACCGGCUAACUACGUG